AUGGGCGUGCGCUCAAAGGAUACAAACAUGGAUUCACAAACAAAAAGGGGAAUCAUAUCACUUUUUCCUGUCGCAUAAAAAAAGUCUUUACGCGAGAGCAAUAGAGGUUGGGAUACAUCUAUCUCUUCUGAGCAACCUCUUUUGGAUUCUCAAGACCACCCUUGCAGUAGGAUACCAUCUACUUUGGUUCUUUAUUAUCUCCUUCGAGGGAUUUUUAGGAUCGUUCAGGGUAUAUAUAUUUAG
RNAcentral lists this ribosomal RNA (243 nucleotides) under Triticum aestivum (bread wheat). Its description in RNAcentral is "partial small subunit ribosomal RNA". Lineage: Eukaryota; Viridiplantae; Streptophyta; Magnoliopsida; Poales; Poaceae. The record is from RNAcentral.